This 253-nucleotide ribosomal RNA is filed under the name uncultured bacterium. RNAcentral's name for it is "partial 16S ribosomal RNA". It matches the Rfam family "Bacterial small subunit ribosomal RNA", at positions 524 to 776 of the family's 1533-position model. The record is from RNAcentral.
GACGUAGGGCGCGAGCGUUGUCCGGAAUUAUUGGGCGUAAAGAGCUCGUAGGCGGUCUGUCGCGUCUGCUGUGAAAACUCGGGGCUUAACCCCGGGCCUGCAGUGGGUACGGGCAGACUAGAGUGCGGUAGGGGAGACUGGAAUUCCUGGUGUAGCGGUGAAAUGCGCAGAUAUCAGGAGGAACACCGGUGGCGAAGGCGGGUCUCUGGGCCGUAACUGACGCUGAGGAGCGAAAGCAUGGGUAGCGAACAGG